RNAcentral lists this ribosomal RNA (271 nucleotides) under uncultured prokaryote. RNAcentral's name for it is "partial 16S ribosomal RNA". It matches the Rfam family "Bacterial small subunit ribosomal RNA", at positions 524 to 794 of the family's 1533-position model. The record is from RNAcentral.
UACGGAGGAUCCGAGCGUUAUCCGGAUUUAUUGGGUCUAAAGGGUGCGCAGGCGGAAUAUUAAGUCGGCGGUGAAAGUUUGCAGCUUAACUGUAAAAUUGCCGUUGAUACUGGUAUUCUUGAGUGUAUAUGAAGUAGGCGGAAUUUGUAGUGUAGCGGUGAAAUGCAUAGAUAUUACAAGGAACUCCGAUUGCGAAGGCAGCUUACUAAAAUACCACUGACGCUUAGGCACGAAGGCGUGGGGAUCAAACAGGAUUAGAUACCCUGGUAGU